RNAcentral lists this ribosomal RNA (765 nucleotides) under uncultured bacterium. RNAcentral's name for it is "bacterial SSU rRNA". It matches the Rfam family "Bacterial small subunit ribosomal RNA", at positions 8 to 790 of the family's 1533-position model. The record is from RNAcentral.
AGAGUUUGAUCAUGGCUCAGGACGAACGCUGGCGGCGUGCUUAACACAUGCAAGUCGAACGGAGGAUACAUUGAAACGCAAGUCGAUAUGUAACCUUAGUGGCGGACGGGUGAGUAACGCGUGAGGAGCUGUCCUAUGCAGGGGGACAACAGCUGGAAACGGCUGCUAAUACCCCAUAAGCCGAGAGGUAAAAGGAUCAAUCCGGCAGAGGAGGUACUCGCGUCCUAUCAGCUAGUAGGUGAGGUAACGGCUCACCUAGGCGAAGACGGGUAGCCGGCCUGAGAGGGCGAACGGCCACACUGGAACUGAGAUACGGUCCAGACUCCUACGGGAGGCAGCAGUGGGGAAUAUUGGGCAAUGGGGGAAACCCUGACCCAGCGACGCCGCGUGGGUGAAGAAAUCCUUCGGGAUGUAAAGCCCUGUUGUAUGGGAAGAGCGGAAGACGGUACCAUACGAGGAAGCCCCGGCAAACUACGUGCCAGCAGCCGCGGUAAUACGUAGGUGGCGAGCGUUGUCCGGAAUUACUGGGCGUAGAGGGUGCGUAGGCGGUCCUUUAAGUCUUGUGUGAAAUGCCCCGGCUUAACCGGGGAGCGGCACAGGAAACUGGGGGACUGGAGUGCUGGAGAGGGUCGCGGAAUUCCCGGUGUAGCGGUGAAAUGCGUAGAUAUCGGGGAGGAACACCAGUGGCGAAGGCGGCGACCUGGACAGUAACUGACGCUGAGGCACGGAAAGCUGGGGGGGAGCAAACAGGAUUAGAUACCCUGG